GGGGAGGCUCGGGCAGCACAAGAGCCCACGGCGUGUGGGGAGGUUCAGGCAUGGCGGGCUGCAGGUCCCGAGCCCUGCCCUGCGGGAAGGCAGCCAAGGCCCGGCGAGAAAUUGAGCACAGCAGCUGCUGGCCCAGGCGUUAAACCCCUCACUGCCCGGGGCCGGCAGGGGCUCCCUGCCGCUCUGAGUGCGGGGCCCGCCAAGCCCACGCCCACCCGGAACUCCAGCUGCCCCGCAAGCGCCGCGCGCAGCCCGGGUUCCCGCCCGCAGCCCGGGUUCCCGCCCGCGCCUUUCCCUCCACACCUCCUCGCAAGCUGAGGGAGCCGGCUCCGGCUUUGGCCAGCCCAGAAAGGGGUUCCCAGAGUGCAGCGGCGGGCUGAAGGGCUCCUCAAGUGCCGCCAAAGUGGGAGCCCAGGCAGAGGAGGCGCCGAGAGCGAGCGAGGGCUGUGAGGACUGAGAGCACGCUGUCAUCUUUCAGAAGGAGGUCUUAUCUGAUGACUUUUAUUUUCUCCAUGAAGCCGCACAGAAACUCUCUCUGUACCACGUACCUGCUGCCAGAAGCUGGGAAGGAGUGGUGCUGGUGAUUCAAAACUGAUUUUCCUGCCUCUUCGAUGCCUCUUUUAGUGACAUACAGUUAAGACCAGGCACUGGUAUAACCAGGAGUUGCGAAGUGGUCGUAGUUGUUCAUGUCUCAAUCUGGAUCAUCUUUGCUUUUUGCUUCUGCUUUGUGCUAUCCCUCUUCCCGUACCUCAGUUCUAUCUGGAACCAUGAUCUGUGACUGCCAUGGAAAAGUGUUGGGCAGGAGGAGGCCAGCUGGGUCUUUGAAGUUGACAAUGGAGCCAGGAAUGAAAGCUGCACUUAGGAUGAGAAUUGCUUUCCCUGGAGCCAAGUCAGCAAAUGCAGUCUGGUUGUCAGAGCUGAGAGGCUUCACCAAGUCAAGUAGGGGAGGACAUCUUCACUCUGCAACUUGCCCUACUGAAUGCAGAAAGUACUGUCUACUUAGAUAAAGCCUACACUAAAAGGGAAUUGAAUCUCUGCAAAUAAGUAUGUGGAUCUAAUUUCUACCUUCCAGAUUAAAAGUAUAAUUAAAAAUGAAAA
Molecule: long non-coding RNA, 1098 nt
Organism: Homo sapiens (human)
Lineage: Eukaryota; Metazoa; Chordata; Mammalia; Primates; Hominidae
Exons: 5
Source: RefSeq, a predicted model, not a curated record